This 762-nucleotide ribosomal RNA is filed under the name Acanthostracion polygonius (honeycomb cowfish). Its description in RNAcentral is "partial 12S ribosomal RNA". It matches the Rfam family "Bacterial small subunit ribosomal RNA", at positions 26 to 1348 of the family's 1533-position model. Lineage: Eukaryota; Metazoa; Chordata; Actinopteri; Tetraodontiformes; Ostraciidae. The record is from RNAcentral.
ACUAACAACUUUAGCUAAAUUUACACAUGCAAGUAUCCGCACCCCUGUGAGAAUGCCCUACAGUCCCCCGCCCGGGAACAAGGAGCUGGUAUCAGGCACACUUUAGCCCAAGACACCUUGCUUAGCCACACCCUCAAGGGAAUUCAGCAGUGAUAAACAUUAAGCCAUAAGUGAAAACUUGACUUAGUUAAAGCUAGGGCCGGUAAAACUCGUGCCAGCCACCGCGGUUAUACGAGAGACCCGAGUUGUUAAUUAUCGGCGUAAAGCGUGGUUAAAAAUAAAUUUGUCAUUAAAGCCGAACACCUUCAAAGCUGUUAUACGCAUCCGAAAGUAAGAAGACCAAUAACGAAAGUAGCUUUAUCCAUUUGAACCCACGAAAGCUAUGGCACAAACUGGGAUUAGAUACCCCACUAUGCCUAGCCGUAAACAUUGACAGUAAACUCCCACUGUCCGCCCGGGUACUACGAGCAUUAGCUUAAAACCCAAAGGACUUGGCGGUGCUUUAGAUCCACCUAGAGGAGCCUGUUCUAGAACCGAUAACCCCCGUUUAACCUCACCCUUCCUUGUUUUUCCCGCCUAUAUACCACCGUCGUCAGCUUACCCUGUGAAGGCCUCAUAGUAAGCAAAAUUGGCAUAGCCCAAAACGUCAGGUCGAGGUGUAGCGUAUGGAAGGGGAAGAAAUGGGCUACAUUCACUUACCAGUGAAAUACGAACGAUGUAUUGAAAUAUACAUCUAAAGGAGGAUUUAGCAGUAAGUAGAAA